This 439-nucleotide ribosomal RNA is filed under the name uncultured bacterium. RNAcentral describes it as "partial 16S ribosomal RNA". It matches the Rfam family "Bacterial small subunit ribosomal RNA", at positions 338 to 795 of the family's 1533-position model. The record is from RNAcentral.
CCUACGGGUGGCAGCAGUGAGGAAUAUUGGUCAAUGGACGAGAGUCUGAACCAGCCAAGCCGCGUGAGGGAAGACGGUCUUCGGAUUGUAAACCUCUGUCUUCGGGGAAGAAAAUGACGGUACCCAAAGCGGAAGCCACGGCUAACAACGUGCGAGCAGCCGCGGUAAUACGUAGGGGCCGAGCGUUGUGCGGAAUUACUGGGGGUAAAGGGAGCGUAGGCGGGCGGGUAAGUUGAAUGUUAAAUCUACCGGCUUAACUGGUAGCUGCGUCCAAAAAUUCUUGUCUUGAGUGAAGUAGAGGCAGGCGGAAUUCCUGGGGUAGCGGUGAAAUGCGUAGAUAUUAGGAGGAACCCCAGUGGCGAAGGCGGCCUGCUGGGCUUUAACUGACGCUGAGGCUCGAAAGCGUGGGGAGCAAACAGGAUUAGAUACCCCGGUAGUC